This 292-nucleotide ribosomal RNA is filed under the name uncultured bacterium. RNAcentral describes it as "partial 16S ribosomal RNA". It matches the Rfam family "Bacterial small subunit ribosomal RNA", at positions 505 to 796 of the family's 1533-position model. The record is from RNAcentral.
GUGUCAGCCGCCGCGGUAAGACGAGGGGUCCAAGCGUUGUUCGGAAUUAUUGGGCGUAAAGCGGGUGUAGGUGGCUCUAUAAGUCAGGAGUGAAAUCCCCAAGCUUAACUUGGGAAGUGCUUUUGAUACUGCAGAGCUUGAAUGUGGGAGAGGAUAGUAGAAUUCCAGGUGUAGUGGUGAAAUACGUAGGUAUCUGGAGGAAUACCGGAGGCGAAGGCGGCUAUCUGGCCCAACAUUGACACUGAGACCCGAAAGCGUGGGGAUCAAACAGGAUUAGAUACCCUGGUAGUCC